AGCGAACGCUGGCGGCAGGCCUAACACAUGCAAGUCGAACGGAUCCUUCGGGAUUAGUGGCGGACGGGUGCGUAACACGUGGGAACGUGCCCUUUGGUUCGGAACAACUCAGGGAAACUUGAGCUAAUACCGGAUGUGCCCUUCGGGGGAAAGAUUUAUCGCCAUUGGAGCGGCCCGCGUCUGAUUAGCUAGUUGGUGAGGUAACGGCCCACCAAGGCGACGAUCAGUAGCUGGUCUGAGAGGAUGAUCAGCCACACUGGGACUGGGACACGGCCCAGACUCCUACGGGAGGCAGCAGUGGGGAAUCUUGCGCAAUGGGCGAAAGCCUGACGCAGCCAUGCCGCGUGAAUGAUGAAGGUCUUAGGAUUGUAAAAUUCUUUCAGCGGGGACGAUAAUGACGGUACCCGCAGAAGAAGCUCCGGCUAACUUCGUG
Molecule: ribosomal RNA, 433 nt
Filed under: uncultured bacterium
Lineage: Bacteria
Description: partial 16S ribosomal RNA
Rfam family: Bacterial small subunit ribosomal RNA
Source: RNAcentral